UACGGAGGGGGCUAGCGUUGUUCGGAAUUACUGGGCGUAAAGCGCGCGUAGGCGGUUUGUCAAGUUGGGGGUGAAAUCCCGGGGCUCAACCCCGGAACUGCCUCCAAAACUGACUGACUAGAGGCCGAGAGAGGUAAGGGGAAUUCCUAGUGUAGAGGUGAAAUUCGUAGAUAUUAGGAAGAACACCAGUGGCGAAGGCG
This 200-nucleotide ribosomal RNA is filed under the name uncultured bacterium. RNAcentral describes it as "partial 16S ribosomal RNA". It matches the Rfam family "Bacterial small subunit ribosomal RNA", at positions 524 to 723 of the family's 1533-position model. The record is from RNAcentral.